GUGGGGAAUUUUGGACAAUGGGCGCAAGCCUGAUCCAGCAAUGCCGCGUGCAGGAAGAAGGCCCUUUGGUUGUAAAGCACUUUAAGCGAGGAGGAGGCUACCGAGAUUAAUACUCUUGGAUAGUGGACGUUACUCGCAGAAUAAGCACCGGCUAACUCUGUGCCAGCAGCCGCGGUAAUACAGAGGGUGCAAGCGUUAAUCGGAUUUACUGGGCGUAAAGCGCGCGUAGGUGGCGAAUUAAGUCAAAUGUGAAAUCCCCGAGCUUAACUUGGGAAUUGCAUUCGAUACUGGUUGGCUAGAGUAUGGGAGAGGAUGGUAGAAUUCCAGGUGUAGCGGUGAAAUGCGUAGAGAUCUGGAGGAAUACCGAUGGCGAAGGCAGCCAUCUGGCCUAAUACUGACACUGAGGUGCGAAAGCAUGGGGAGCAAACAGGAUUAGAAACCCGAGUAGUCC
This 451-nucleotide ribosomal RNA is filed under the name uncultured bacterium. RNAcentral describes it as "partial 16S ribosomal RNA". It matches the Rfam family "Bacterial small subunit ribosomal RNA", at positions 354 to 796 of the family's 1533-position model. The record is from RNAcentral.